Molecule: long non-coding RNA, 408 nt
Organism: Gallus gallus (chicken)
Lineage: Eukaryota; Metazoa; Chordata; Aves; Galliformes; Phasianidae
Source: Ensembl
CUGCAGAUAAGAGGUCCCGGAGCAGUGGGGUGGAGGUGCACUGUGUGGCUCUGAGCUCCUACGUUCCCAGGGGGAGACCAAGCCUGGAUGUGGCGUCUAAGGGAAGUUAUGUUCUUCAUAUUGUGAAAUAGAAGAGUGGAAAAUGGGAAGGCCUUUUGUGGGGUGCCCAUGGGCAGGUGCUCCUGGAGCUCUCUAAAGCAAAAGAGUGUAUGGAGAUAUGGAGAGCCCUUUGGCUGCAAAGCCCAGCCUGGCUAAUGGGGCUCCCACUGUGCAGAACUGAAAUAUGCCAUCCAGUUCUUAGGGGAAAAAUGCUAUUAUCAGAGCCUCUGCUCAUCUGGUUGUGAUUUAUCUGCGUGGCUCCGAGCCUGCGUGGCUUUUGGCUUCCUGAAAAAUAAGGCUCAGUGUACU